GCGGACAUAGCUCAGUUGGGAGAGCGUCAGACUGAAGUCMAACUUCAAUCACUUUAAUCUGAAGGUCGUGUGUUCAAUCCACACUGGCCGCA
This 92-nucleotide transfer RNA is filed under the name Colletotrichum higginsianum. Its description in RNAcentral is "tRNA CH063_16175". It matches the Rfam family "tRNA". Rfam says of the family: Transfer RNA (tRNA) molecules are approximately 80 nucleotides in length. Their secondary structure includes four short double-helical elements and three loops (D, anti-codon, and T loops). Lineage: Eukaryota; Fungi; Ascomycota; Sordariomycetes; Glomerellales; Glomerellaceae. The record is from RNAcentral.